RNAcentral lists this ribosomal RNA (254 nucleotides) under uncultured bacterium. Its description in RNAcentral is "partial 16S ribosomal RNA". It matches the Rfam family "Bacterial small subunit ribosomal RNA", at positions 524 to 776 of the family's 1533-position model. The record is from RNAcentral.
UACGUAGGGGGCGAGCGUUGUCCGGAUUUAUUGGGCGUAAAGAGCUCGUAGGCGGUUUGGUAAGUUGGAUGUGAAAUCUCCAGGCUCAACUUGGAGGGGUCAUUCGAUACUGCCAUGACUAGAGUUCGGUAGGGGAGUGUGGAAUUCCUGGUGGAGCGGUGAAAUGCGCAGAUAUCAGGAGGAACGCCCGUAGCGAAGGCGGCACUCUGGGCCGGAACUGACGCUGAGGAGCGAAAGCGUGGGGAGCGAACAGG